UACGUAGGGUGCAAGCGUUAAUCGGAAUUACUGGGCGUAAAGCGUGCGCAGGCGGUUUUGUAAGCCAGAUGUGAAAUCCCCGGGCUUAACCUGGGAAUGGCAUUUGGGACUGCAAGGCUUGAGUGCGGCAGAGGAGACUGGAAUUCCCGGUGUAGCAGUGAAAUGCGUAGAUAUUAGCAGGAACACCGGUGGCGAAGGCGGCUAUCUGGACGACAACUGACGCUGAGGCGCGAAAGCGUGGGGAUCAAACAGG
This 253-nucleotide ribosomal RNA is filed under the name uncultured bacterium. Its description in RNAcentral is "partial 16S ribosomal RNA". It matches the Rfam family "Bacterial small subunit ribosomal RNA", at positions 524 to 776 of the family's 1533-position model. The record is from RNAcentral.